RNA transcript from Octodon degus (degu), 965 nucleotides. It is a transcript of the gene named golgin subfamily A member 7 pseudogene, with no coding region annotated. The record is from RefSeq and is a predicted model, not a curated record. Lineage: Eukaryota; Metazoa; Chordata; Mammalia; Rodentia; Octodontidae. The transcript has 2 exons.
AUGCUGCAUGAGCAGUACCACGGCAAGGUACUCCUGGAACAGCACCCCAACUGCAGCUGCUGGCUGCGCGUCCUUUGGGGGGGUCUGGAAGGGGCCAAGAUGGUGCCUCCGGGGACCUGCUGUGUGACUGGCGCCGCCAUUGCAGUCAACACUGGAUGCUGUGGCUGCUUAGGCCAUUGGCCACAGCAGGUGCCGGUGUCAGAGAAGGUGUUUAUUCAGCGAGACUACAGCAAUGGCACAUGCUGCCAGUUCCAGACCAAGUUCCCUGCAAAGCUGGAAAACCAGAUUGAUAGACAGCAGUUUGAAGAAACUGUACAGACUCUAAAUAACCUUUAUGCAGAAGCAGAAAAGCUCAAGGGCCAAUCCUAUCUCGAAGGCUGUCUGGCAUGUUUAACAGCAUACACCAUCUUCUUAUGUAUGGAAACCCAUUAUGAGAAGGUUCUGAAGAAAGUUUCCAAGUAUAUUCAAGAACAAAAUGAGAAGAUAUAUGCUCCCCAAGGCCUCCUUCUAACAGACCCCAUUGAGAGAGGACUUCGAGUUAUUGAAAUUACCAUUUAUGAAGACAGAGGCAUGAGCAGUGGAAGAUAAACCAUUGACUUAAAGAUCCUGCCUCCUUCUGAGACUCUCAUCUGUCCACUGACUGACCACAGAGUGUCCCUACCUCGUCUCCAAGCAUCAUUCCUUUGUAUCUGCUGCCAGAGCCAUGGUGCCAUUUACUCCAAGGACUAACUUUCUAAAAUUCCAUGCCUGGGGUGACUUCUAGUUGUUCAGCAUCCACUUUGUGUCUCUAAAUUGUGCAGGACUCUAAUAUUUUGAAGAAUUUCUAAGAAAACACAAUGAAGCGCUUCAUUUUUAAAAUUCAGAGCCAUUUAGUAAAAUAUGCAUUUGGUCACCCAGUACAUUAUUUCUUCCCUGCCACCAGUACCACUUUAUUUCUUGGCCAGUUUCCCAGGUGGCUCCUGACU